This 210-nucleotide long non-coding RNA is filed under the name Homo sapiens (human). Its description in RNAcentral is "long non-coding RNA NONHSAT162239". Lineage: Eukaryota; Metazoa; Chordata; Mammalia; Primates; Hominidae. The record is from RNAcentral.
UUUCAAUCCUGUCAGUUCCUACUUCUAAAUAGAUUCACUCGGAAUAUAUUGAGCACUGUCCAGAGUGGUUGGGGAAAGAAGGAGAUCCAGGUUAAUUGGCCAUGCUGUCCUUGGGUUCCUAUGUAUUUUCCUUGUAGAAUCUCAACUUUGAUUUCACUCGGAGUUACCUGGACUUGAUUGUAACUUACACCUCAGUCAUUUUACUUCUGU